AGAUGCCGAUUGGUGUUCUCCUUGUUAGUUACAAGGGACGCAACAGGUUGGUCCUUUAGUAAUAAUACGUUUUAAGUGAAUUUUGUGAAUAGAAUUAUUAUAUUUUAAAUCAAAGAUGGAUUAUAAACUAACUACUCUUUUAAUUUUUUGUCUUAUUCUUCCUCAUCUGAGUUAUCAACAGUCAAAAUCCCACAAAAAUAACAAUCACAGUAAAUUUAGCGGAGCGCCGUUCUAUAAGGAACCUAGUAAUUGGAAAACUAUAGUUAUUAUAGUUUGCAGUGUUCUGUUCUUUGGUGCUGUGGUUUAUGGUACUACAUGCUUGCAGAUUUGUAAAAUGCAUUUCUUCGAAAGAACCGAAAAAAAGUACACAAAAAUGGAUUCUUGCACUGACGUAUGACAAUGUAAUAAAUUGAGAAUCUAUGAUAUGUUUUGUUGUGAUAAAUACUUUGGUUUUAAUAUUGUUUGAAAUUUUAUUCAAAAAAAAUUAUGUAGUUAUGUUAAAAGAUAGAUUUUGUUCUUAAUCUUUCAAUUUAUACAAUAAUUUCUAUAUUUACUCUUCGAUAUAAGAAGGAAACGUUUUUUACACAAACAAAUACGCUUCAGGGGUUGAAAGCUGAUUGUAUUAUCGAUCUAUAGUAAUUAACGGAAUUAUACAGAAAAAUUAGAGAGAAGCAUUUAACAUUACAUAAUUAUGAGUUAGAGAUAAGAUGCCUCCAUAUUUUCGUUAUCUGGAGAAUUUAGUCCAUCAAAAUUUUCAAUUUCAAAUCAUUCUAAAUAUGAGUUUACAAAAAUGAUAAUAUUGUAACUAUUAAACGACUUAUUUGGGUCCAGAAUCUAUGCUAGGUCUAGCCUAAAGUGUAGCUAUUACAUCUCUCAGUAGUCUGCUCGUAAGACAAAUUCUGCGGAGAUAUAUGGAAACACCUGGAAUGAGAUAAGCUAAGGUACACAUAGAUAGAUCUUUUACCUCUUUUACCAAUCAACUGCUUCACUUAUACAAGCGCCUUUUAAUUGAACACAGUCAUCUAAGACGCCAUCUCCAUGCUAUAGGCAUCACCAACGAUAUGGAAUACUGUUGUAGUAUGGAUGGGGAAGAAACUAGAGUCUAUUUCAUCGGUGAAUGCCUAGUAUUCAUAUCCAAGAGGUUGGAACACUUGGGCAAACCUCACAGUUUGACCAUCGAAAAAGAUAAUUAAACGAUCAAUGAUUCGUUAAAGAAUAUUAUUUGAUGUCCACACAAGAUAUUAAUUCUGAGAGAAUUGGUUUUUAAAAUUUUUAUACAAAUGGGAGGAAUUAUCUGUAAACCAGCUUUGAGACAAUAUAACCCCAUAAGUAGUAAAUGUAGCGCCAUGAAUAAGCAUAAUUUUUUUUAAAUUUUUUUCGAUUAGGUUGACAAUUAUGAUGAAAUUCAUUAUACCUGCUUUCCCAAAGGCAAACAUGAUCUACAAAUAAUCGGAUUAUUUUAUUUUCUUAAUUAACCGGCAACGGUGUGACAUAAAAGAUUGUUACUAAAAAUCGGAAAAUAUUUACAUGCUUGUUAUGUUCAAUCUAACCUGCAAGACCGUAUAGUCCGGUCAAUUUACACAUUUAUUCAAGGUCAAAGGUCAAAAAAAUGAGUUUUUCGCGAUUUUCAGCAAAACGGUUUAUACCUUAGACAAAAAUUGUAGAUCAUAAAAUUAUCAAUUGAAAACAUAUCAAUACUUUUUUCCUUCGAGCCACCCACUGUUUCUGAGAUAUAAUGAUUCAAAACGUUGUAUAAGUUGUAAUCGUCAUAAUAUGCACACGUUUCCACGCCACCUAUGAGGUAGUAGUUUCCUGAGUAAGCUUUUCCACGUCUGUUGUGAUGUUUAACUUGAAACUACUGCAAAAUAAUGGAAAUUAUCAGAAAUUGAAAAGAUAAAAGCAAUUUAAAUUGAAAAAAGUUGUGAAAUUUAAUCGUCGUAGCUUUCAAAUUCUUCUUCUCUCCAUCUUCAUUCUGAGUGCAUGUAAAUUGCGUCAAUAGCGAUGUAUUUCAUGUCGGAAUCAAACCGAUCCUCCACAUUUAGCACUGCAUCCUUUUUUGCACUUGCAAAAAAUUGUGUUCAGUGGCACAGGUGGGAGUAAAGUUUCAAUGGGUUCUAAUGUAUUGUUGACCAACUUCCAACCCCAUUCUGUAGGGUCUAGCUGAUAACCAACCAUACUUGAACUACCCGAAACAGAUGUUGAUGAGCAGCAACUGAGGUUGGAGGAAGACAAGCCAAUUGAACUUUUAGUAUUUUUACGAAACACGUAUAUCGAUACUUUAUAUGCAGGUGGUUUUUAAGGAGCUCCGUAUAUAGAAAGAAGAAAGCGACUGCCUUCUUAUCGAGUUGAAUUAUUAUUUUUAAAAACUUUAGCACAUUGAACUAAAUCUUGUUUUUCAAACAUUUUGAAACCUGUUAUUUUACCUUUCCUGUAAAAUGCUGAUGUCGUGUCACAGUCAAUUAUUGCGUGUAAAAAUAGUACAUGAUUUCAAUACAUUGCAAAAGUAGAUAAACUUUGAUGAAUAAAUUUCCGAUUGAUGUUGAGCUUUUCCUGGUCUUAAGAAGAAAAUAGUUUUUUCAGUUGGAGCUAGAGCAGUGAGUAAUACGAGUAAGUCUACAUUUUCACUAACAAGAAUAGUUGUAUUUGUAUUUUAAGUGUAAGUUACAAUGACCGAUAAAAAAAUAUUUCAACAUAUAUUACAACUCUAGAGAUGUAUAUACGUGGCGUACUCGUGGAUAUUAUGACGAUUACAACAUUUAGAACUAUAUUAAUAUGUUCUUUGUAAAUAAUUUUAUGAUCUACAAUUUUUGUCUGAUUUAUUUUUAUGAUAAAACUUACCGUUUUACUGAAAAUCGCAAAAAAACCAUUUUCUUGACUUUUGACCUUGAAUAAAUUCUUUUCCAUACGUUUGUAUGAUGGGGAAUUUUCAAAUUUCAUUUUUAAUUAUAUUUUAAACAAUUGCACUGAUUUACAGCUGGGAAUUUAUGUAGCUUUAUUAGUUUAAUUUGACGGGACUAGUAUAUCAAAGUUGACAAAAAAGCGAAUAUUUAGAGCUCCGGUUGAUUGAGGCCCAAAUUUUACAACUGAUAUUCAAACCUCAAACGUCACUUCAAACCAUAGAUACCGUUUUUUUCACGUUUUAUAGAUAGUGUUUACCGACAAACUUUAACGUUUAAACGUUAACAUGAAACGUAGGAUCCGAACAUAACUUUUUUAAAUUGUUCACAUUUUUACGAUAUUAUGAAGGUUUUCCGUAAAAUGAUUGAAAACUUGCACUUUAUAUUUGAUGAACUCGACGGUGACGAUGAAGAAAUAAAUAAAUAUUGUCGGCGUGCCGGGAAAACAAAAAGUUAUUCGUUCUAUUUGUCCAAUUGUUCCAUUUAUUUUCUAAAUUUGCUUUGAUUUUAUCGAGAACAUAAGAGAUUUUGUUAUUUUCAUCGUUAAAUCCCUUUGCAAACUCCUCCCAACCUUUUCCCUUCUCUUUCCAAGUUACCGCAUCACUUUUUUUGGAUCCGACUGUUCCUUUUGUAUUUCUUCACAAGGUUAGUCUAAAGCACUACUUCAUUUCUAGAGAAAAUGCAAAAAAUUUCAUUUUGGUUCAAAUUAGAGUUUAAACCAUAGUUUGAACUCCAGUUGUAAAAUUGGUCCUGAACCAGUGUUCCCUCAAGGUAGUGUUUUGGGACCAAUACUGUAUCUAUUAUAUACUUGUGACAUCCUUGUUACGGAAAAUGUUGCAUUGGCUAUAUUUGCAGACGACACUGCAAUACUAGCUGUUAGAAAAUCAAUUGGAGAGGUGGUCAAGAAUAUUCCAAAUUCAUUGAAAAAAAAAGUUAUCUAACAAAUGGAGUAUUAACAUCAGUUUAGGAUAAUCUGCUCAUAUCGUCUUUAACUAUAAAUAUAAACAAUCUCCCAGUUACAUUUAACAAUAAGAUUAUCUCAUAUGGAGAACUGUCAAAUAUUUAGGCUACAUCUGGAUGGUAAACUCAAGUGGCAGGAACAUUUAAGAAAUGAAGCAGAUUAAUUGCAACUCAAAUAUAAAAUACUAAAUUGGUUGCUAAGAAGAAGCUCACAACUUACUAUUGAAAAUAAGGGGCUAGUAUACAACUUUGGGGCCGUACUAGUGAAAGUAACUUGCUUGCAUUUAAAGAGUCUAAAACUGAAUAUCAAAGAAUAUAGUUGAUUCCCCUUGGUAAGUCAGCAAUCAAUAUCCAUACCGGGAACUCUGUAUAAAAACAGCCAAGAAGAACGACAUCAUAAUCACAUAAACAACUUUAUGAUAAUCAAGACAUAGUUCGCAGACGUUCUGUAAAAUAACGAAAAUAUGGAAAUGUCUUUAUAUCCAAUGGGACACAUUGUAUAUUUGAAUUUAUAUAAUAUUACUUGAAACAAAUUUAAUUUAUAUGUAAGAUAUCCGACAUGUUUUAGUGUUUACAGAACUACCAACAUUUAUUAGUGGUGUUACGUGCUUUUCAUUCUGAAUUAUAUAAAUCUAUUACGUUUUCAAUAUUUAUGAUUCUAAUAAGGCUAUUGUUACAAUGUAGUUCAACACAAAUCAGUAGGAAAACAAAAAAAGUGAAUAAUAAUCAUUUUAAUCUGUUGGAUUCAUCUCAAUAUAUAGUGGCCUGAGUACGUGAACAAAAUUUUGUUGAAUACUAUAUUUAAAUAUUGAUCCAAGUUUAUAAAUGCCUGUUGAUAUAAAUAUUAAAGAUAGCUGUAUACACAAUGAGUUUUAUGUAUAGAAUGCUUCAAUUAUCUCUGAAACGGCUUGUAUAAUUUUUUUAAAAUUUUAUGCGCAUCAUUUUUGAUAUAUGGUCAGAUAUUGUUGUCAGAUUUUUCGUUUUUUUAUAUUGAGAUUUCUUUAAUGUAUUGCAACAUAUAUUUUUGGAUUUGACACUUGCAUUGCAUACGAAAUUUGUGGAAAAUUAUAGAUCAGAAAGCUCUCGAAUCUAGAUAUGAGACUUUUCAAUCUAAAUAACAACAUUCCUGGACUUCCUAUAAAAUUAUACUUUAUUAUUUUGACACGAAGGAAAAUUGUUAUUAUAAUUAGUUCAUUUACAGACCACCACACACUACAUUAUAUUGCAAAAAUAUAGUGCCGUUCAACACUUCUUUAUUUUCAUUAUUCUAUACAGAGUGAGUUUUACGUAUGGAAUGCCUCAAUUAUCUCGGAAACGGCUUGUACGGUAUCUACAUUGUUGUCAGGUCUUUCCAUUUUGCGGAAAAAUAAUGCUUUUUAUUAUUUCACAUGGAUCUCCCUAUAUAUUUUGUGUUUUUAGAAAUACUGAUUAUUUUUCAUGUAAUAUUCUCUAUAAUUAAAUGUCACAAUUUCCAUUUACAGUAUCUCCACCAAAGUUACAAUAAAUAUUGUACAUUUAGAUGGCUACGAUUGACCAAACUAGUUUAAUUUGAAUAUUCUUUAAUAAUUUAUGUGCUAAUACAAAUCUCGAAACAAGGUCUUGUGUCAGUAAAUUAGUAAAAAUAUUAACGAAACUGGCGCGGUAAAAUAUUUAUCCAAAUCAUGGCGCAUAAAAUCUACAACAACUAAAGACAAAUCUUUACAUGUUUGUGUCAUGCUAGACUUAGAUCCACAUUUGUGAAGUAGUAAAAUUACGAAUUUUAGAAAAUAUACAGUCGAUUACAGCAGAUGCUCAAAAUGUCUAUUUACUUCAAUACAAAAAGCCAUGCGAUUUUCAAAACUUUUGCAAUACAUCUUGCAACAUCCCUUACUGCUCAAUUCUUCUUAUCUUUGUGAUAAUCCUAUCUUUUAAUUCCUGAAUAUUGACAGGCUUUGUUUCAUAAACGAUGUUUCUUAAGUGACCUCACAAGAAAUAGUCUAAAGGAUUCAUGUCGGGUAAUUGCGAGGCCCAUUCGAUAAAACCACGCCUUCCAACCCAUCUUCUGGGAAACACAUUAUUUAGGUAUUACUUCACCACACACGCAUAGUGAGGUGGGGCACCAUCUUGUAGCAAAAUAUUGUUGUUUGGGAUAUUGUUAUUGUCUGAAAAUUUCUUAUAAUGAAAUUUUUUUUUAAAUGUAAUUGAAAAUACUUGGAUUGAUGUAUUAAAGUAUCAGGAGCUAUUUGUGGAAUUUGGGGCUCUGUCAUUAGUGCUGUUAUGACAAAGAGAACAACAGCAAAUGAUGGAAGUAUUGAUGGUGUAGAAACUGCUGACAUGAAUUUAUACAUAAUGCUGAUUGAAGAUUUUCUGAAACAUUUGAAAAUUGAUCAGCUUUUUCUUACUCUGUCUCUGUAUGAUAACUAAUUGACUAAAUUAAAAUCUUAAACAUAUGAAUAUUGUCAUAAUAUAAGUCUUUGUUGCCAUUCUUUUCUCAUGUGCACAUUAUUCAAUUGUGUGUUUGGAUAAGUGAAAUUUUUUUUUGUAAUUUUAAUAUUGGGAGUCGAAUAGGAUUGUUAUAUGUCUUUUCUGAUCCUUUCUACUGGAUUAGUUUAGGCACAUCAUUUUUUGUCUGAGUGAAAGGAUCUGGAUUGAACCCUAUGGAACUAUGAUUUCAGUGCUGUAUAUUCAGAAUAAUUUAAAUAAGAUUUACUUAGAUGAAAGCUAUAGCAGCUAGAUCGUUCGUAUAUCUUAUCUGGUAUAUUCAAAAAAAUAUGUUCUCUCCAAUAUAUCGCGCAAAAAUUAUUGUUACUGUUAUUAACAUUUCCUUUUAUUUAACAAAUAUCAUUAAAUAUUUACUUUUUUAUAUUGACAUUAUAUUUAUUCAUUAUUAAUUUUGUCAUUGAAGGUUUUGUUAGAUUUAUGUUUAUUUUAGAGAUAGGCAAAGCGUUAUCUCCUACAAUUAACGGAAAACUGCCAUAAUAGUGUCUUAAAAAAUUAUACAUAAGAUAUAUAUCUUCAGAUAUGACCUUCCAUAAAGAACGGCGGCAGUUGUGACCAUUUGUCCAUAUUUUAUUAACCAAAGGUAGAAAGGGAAAUGUUACCAAAUAAAUCUAGGAUAUUCUAUGCAGUUUUCCUAUACAAAAAUAUGAUUUAUAACAUAUCCAACAGAAAAUCCAAUUCCAACAUUUGGUUUUCUUCUUCUAUAGUAUUUUUUCAAGCUAAUAGAGUAACUUUCUAAUACUACGUAUCAAAUGAUUCACGUCUGCAGUUUCAAAUGUGGCGCUAUCUAAUUAUUUGUCUGAUCCCAAAUAAGUUGUAUGAUACGGUGGCAGUCGUAAAACUUUAAUAGUCUAAGAACCAUUGACCAUUGAUAGAUUCCAUUAAUACUGCUUUGAUUGCAGUAUGAUUACACCCCAUCACUUUUCAUUGCGUUCCAGCUUCUUAACGGUUUGAAGUGGGAUUUUGACUUCGACAAAUAGCUUCAUGCGUAAUAUAUUUCGACUCGACACCUUGCAGGACGACUUGAACCACAGUUCGAAGUAAUCGACGAUGAUGAUGACAGGUGCCAACUUGUAAGGUACCUUUCUCCAGAAAUCUAAGGUCGCUACUUACGAGGAUAUAUUGAAAAAUUCUUAUCCUACUAUAGAACCAACAAAAUUUCAAUGUCAAAAUAGUUUAUUAAUCAACAUAUUCUCCUCUUAAUUGUAUACAUUUAUUACAGCGAACCUGCAACGUCUCUAGACCUUUAAAAAAAAUGUCUCUUCUUGAUCUGCAAACUAGACUCCCACAGCUUUUAUUAUUUCCUCGUUGGAAGAAAAUUUACGACCUUUUAAGCCUUUUUUAGUUGAGGAAAGAGAUGAUAGUCGAGCGGAGCCAAAUCUUGUGAAUAAAGGGGUGUUCUAGUAAUUCAAACCCCAAAACACGAAUUUUUUGCAUGGCAACAUUAGAUUUGUGUGUAGGGGCAUUGUCCUGCAAAAACAAAACACCUUUGGAUAGCUUAACGCGUCUUUACUCUAAUUUUUUCCCGUAGAGUGGUCAGUAAUGUCGAAUAGUAAUCUCCAGUUAUCUCCAAAAAAUCAAUCAUGAUUACUCCAUGGCAAUCCCAAAAAACUGAAGCAAGAACUUUUCCAGCAUAUUUUUGGAUAUGAAACUUCUCAGGUCUUGAAAAACCAGAGUGUCGCCAUAUUAUCGAUUGUUGCUUUGUUUCUGGAUCGUAGAAAUGUAUCCAAGUCUCAUCCAUAGUAACAAUUCUCUUUAAGAAGUCUACAUCGUUUUCAAAUUGAGCACAGAUCGAACGCGAUGCUUUUAUCCUUGCACGCUUUUGGUCAAUAUUCAAACAAUUGGGGAUCCAUUUUGCAGCAAUUUUUCUCAUUUCCAAAAUGACGUGAACUAUAUGAUGAACGCGUUCGUAUGAAAUAUUCAGUGCUUCAGCUCAGAUCCGUUUUAGCCCAAUUCGACGGUCUGAUAAAAUCAUGUCAUGAACUGCAUCGAUAUUUUCGGGGACUGACACAAAAAUUGGCUCUCUCGAAUGGUUAUCAUCUUCAAUGGAGAAUUUACCUCUUUUGAAGCUUCCAGUCCAAUUUUUCACGGUCCCAUACGAAGGACAUUGAUCACCAAGGGUAAUAAGCAUAUCUUCGUAAAUCUGCUUACCGCUUAACCCAUUUAAAUACAUGUACUUGAUGAUGGCUCGAUAAACCAAUUUUUCUAUUUCCACAAUUUCGGUGGACAUCUUUUUUCUUUUAAUUUAUUGGUUUACUUUUUUAAAUACUUUACACUGACACUUCUAAUAUAUUAUUGUUCGUUGAUAUGGUAACGCAAUAUUUUGUUUAUGUAUGGAACUGGUCUAGGCUAACUAGACAUCAAUACAUCCUCGUAUGAAUAAAUAGUAAAUUUUUCAAUUUUGUUACAUACAAUUCGUCUAUUUUAUGUUGCUCUGACUGCUUUCAAAUUAAUUUUUAAUAUGAUAUAUCUGUUUCGUUUAAAUUGAUUCUGUCUGAAAUUUUUGGUGCACCAAUCUAUUAAAGCAGUUGCUUUGGUCAGUAUUCUUGAUCAAUGAUAUUGUUUUUAUUGAUAUUUAUGUAAUUUUUAAUCCGACAACGACCUGAUCUCCAUUUUUAUGUGCUUGAUAUAAUAACUGUUCUGUUUUAGUACUUUUAAUACUUGGGUAAAUGAUAUUUUUAUCCCUAUUAUAAACAUACUAGUGUAGUCAUAAUUAUUUUUGAAAUUAUUUUAACGAAAGCUAAUAUAUUGCAGAAGAGAAAGCUAAAAACUUAUAGUAAAGUUUUCGAUAUUUAAAGUUUUAUUGCGGUUUUGAAUGAUAUUUUAUGCCAAAAGAUAUUUAAAUUAUUUAUAUAAUUAUAUCAGCCCGUGACGAUUUCAUUGUGAAGUAUGGGUAGUUAUUUCUCUAGAAACAUUCUGAAAAUAUUCAAGAAAACGAAUGGUAUCUUCUGAAUUCACUAUAUUGUGACAGUUUUUCUUUGUACCUAUGGAUAGAUUAAAAAAUUGAAUGUUAAACUGCUCAAAUGAAUGAAUCAAAUACUUAAUUACAUUAAUUAGAAAUAGAUUUAAGAUGUUGUGUUCAAGUUUUUCAAUUUGAUCCAUUCAAAAACUAUUUUCAUAGACGGUAGAAUUUAUUAUACUUAGUAUAUUUUUAAUAUUUUAAAGUUACUGAUUAAACACAAAUUUAUACGUAUUGUAAAAGUAUUUAUAUUGUUUGUUAAUAAAUUUUCAUUAUAUA
Diorhabda sublineata is the source of this 9573-nucleotide long non-coding RNA. RefSeq lists it as uncharacterized. The transcript has 3 exons. NCBI's taxonomy places the organism in Eukaryota, Metazoa, Arthropoda, Insecta, Coleoptera, Chrysomelidae. The record is from RefSeq and is a predicted model, not a curated record.